CGCACCAUGCCCAGCUAAAUUUUGUAUUUUUAGUAGAAACGGGGUUUCACCAUGUUGGUCAGGCUGGUCUUGAACUCCUGACCUCAGGCCAGGAUCCUCCCGCCUCGGCCUCCCAAAGUGCUAGGAUUACAGGCGUGAGCCACUGUGCCCAGCCAUCAGUGAUUUUUUUUUUUUCUUAAGAAUCUAUCCAAAUGACGAAAGUUGAUGGUUACUACAAAUAAUCAGAAAUACAAAUGGAAAGACUGAACAUUGGGUUUCUGUCCAGACUUUUCAAGCUUAGACCUCUCUGCAGACUCCUCUUAGCUCACCAUCACGUCUUACUCUCCCCUUACCCACCUAUCCAUUCCUGAUCUUUGCUUGUGACAAGAUAACCUGUGUAGGGACUGCUUCCUACGUGAAGUGGUCCCCAGAAGGAAGCAGAUUGGAAGGUCCUAGAAAUAGGAGGUGCAGACAUGCACUGAGCAGGAGCCGCUGGCAUCUUUGCUGGUGACUUUGAGACCCCUUCCUCAGGCACUUGUCUUUGAAUGGUGGUCUUACCUGCAAUUUUGCUGUGAGCUCUGGAGUGCAGAGAGCCCCCCAUCUUGGUCUAUCUCAUAUGUAUGACGGUGACCCUCAAACUUCAGCAUGGAUUAACUGAAUAUGAGGGAAGAGAGUAGAUCACCAAUCCUCAGAAAAGGCAUUUAAGGGCCAAGCACGGUGGCAC
This 703-nucleotide long non-coding RNA is filed under the name Homo sapiens (human). RNAcentral's name for it is "HSALNT0276928". Lineage: Eukaryota; Metazoa; Chordata; Mammalia; Primates; Hominidae. The record is from RNAcentral.